Molecule: ribosomal RNA, 492 nt
Filed under: uncultured bacterium
Lineage: Bacteria
Description: partial 16S ribosomal RNA
Rfam family: Bacterial small subunit ribosomal RNA
Source: RNAcentral
AGUGAACGCUGGCGGUAGGCCUAACACAUGCAAGUCGAACGGCAGCACAGUAAGAGCUUGCUCUUACGGGUGGCGAGUGGCGGACGGGUGAGGAAUACAUCGGAAUCUACUUUUUCGUGGGGGAUAACGUAGGGACACUUACGCUAAUACCUCAUACGACCUACGGGUGAAAGCAGGGGAUCUUCGGACCUUGCGCGAUUGAAUGAGCCGAUGUCGGAUUAGCUAGUUGGCGUGGUAAAGGCCCACCAAGGCGACGAUCCGUAGCUGGUCUGAGAGGAUGAUCAGCCACACUGGAACUGAGACACGGUCCAGACUCCUACGGGAGGCAGCAGUGGGGAAUAUUGGACAAUGGGCGCAAGCCUGAUCCAGCCAUACCGCGUGAGUGAAGAAGGCCUUCGGGUUGUAAAGCCCUUUUGUUGGGAAAGAAAAGCAGCAGGUUAAUACCCCGCUGUUCUGACGGUACCCAAAGAAUAAGCACCGGCUAACUUCGUG